AUACGGAGGGUGCGAGCGUUAAUCGGAAUUACUGGGCGUAAAGCGCGCGUAGGCGGGCUGUUAAGUCCGAUGUGAAAUCCCUCGGCUCAACCGAGGACGUGCAUUGGAUACUGGCGACCUUGAGUCCUGGAGAGGGUGGCGGAAUUCCCAGUGUAGAGGUGAAAUUCGUAGAUAUUGGGAGGAACACCGGCGGCGAAGGCGGCCACCUGGACAGUGACUGACGCUGAGGCGCGAAAGCAUGGGUAGCAAACAGGAUUAGAAACCCCAGUAGUCC
RNAcentral lists this ribosomal RNA (274 nucleotides) under uncultured bacterium. Its description in RNAcentral is "partial 16S ribosomal RNA". It matches the Rfam family "Bacterial small subunit ribosomal RNA", at positions 523 to 796 of the family's 1533-position model. The record is from RNAcentral.